ACACAUGCAAGUCGAACGAGAGAGAGGAAGCUUGCUUCCUCAAUCGAGUGGCGAACGGGUGAGUAACGCGUGAGGAACCUGCCUCAAAGAGGGGGGCAACAGUUGGAAACGACUGCUAAUACCGCAUAAGCCCACAGGUCGGCAUCGACCAGAGGGAAAAGGAGCAAUCCGCUUUGAGAUGGCCUCGCGUCCGAUUAGCUAGUUGGUGAGGUAAUGGCCCACCAAGGCAACGAUCGGUAGCCGGACUGAGAGGUUGAACGGCCACAUUGGGACUGAGACACGGCCCAGACUCCUACGGGAGGCAGCAGUGGGGAAUAUUGCACAAUGGGGGAAACCCUGAUGCAGCGACGCCGCGUGGAGGAAGAAGGUCUUCGGAUUGUAAACUCCUGUUGUUGAGGAAGAUAAUGACGGUACUCAACAAGGAAGUGACGGCUAACUACGUGCCAGCAGCCGCGGUAAAACGUAGGUCACAAGCGUUGUCCGGAAUUACUGGGUGUAAAGGGAGCGCAGGCGGGAAGACAAGUUGGAAGUGAAAUCUAUGGGCUCAACCCAUAAACUGCUUUCAAAACUGUUUUUCUUGAGUAGUGCAGAGGUAGGCGGAAUUCCCGGUGUAGCGGUGGAAUGCGUAGAUAUCGGGAGGAACACCAGUGGCGAAGGCGGCCUACUGGGCACCAACUGACGCUGAGGCUCGAAAGUGUGGGUAGCAAACAGGAUUAGAUACCCUGGUAGUCCACACCGUAAACGAUGAUUACUAGGUGUUGGAGGAUUGACCCCUUCAGUGCCGCAGUUAACACAAUAAGUAAUCCACCUGGGGAGUACGACCGCA
This 826-nucleotide ribosomal RNA is filed under the name uncultured bacterium. RNAcentral describes it as "bacterial SSU rRNA". It matches the Rfam family "Bacterial small subunit ribosomal RNA", at positions 51 to 890 of the family's 1533-position model. The record is from RNAcentral.